UUAAUUUUAUUUUUAAACUUGCUAAAAAUCAAAUUCUUAUACUGGAAUGCAACAGUUGUAUUAGCUGAUAAUUUCUGCUAAUUAUAUCAGAAUUGUAAAAAUAAUUUUUUUUUAGUUUUACAGGUUUUCUUUAUUCCUCUGCCUAGGGUCAGCUUUACCUGCUGGUGACAGACCAGGGUUUUCUUACAGAAGAGAAAGUUGUCUGGGAAAGUUUACACAAUGUGGAUGGUGAUGGAAAUUUCUGUGAUUCUGAAUUCCACCUACGGCCUCCGUCAGACCCUGAAACUGUCUACAGAGGGCAGCAGGAUCAAAUAGAUCAAGAUUAUCUGAUGGCAUUGUCUCUACAACAAGAGCAGCAAAGUCAAGAGAUUAACUGGGAACAGAUCCCUGAAGGAAUCAGCGAUCUAGAGCUAGCAAAGAAGCUCCAGGAAGAGGAGGACAGGAGAGCUUCUCAGUUCUAUCAGGAACAAGAACAAGCAGCUGCUCAGGUCCAGCAGGUGCAAGGUCCUGCUUCUCCAGCAAGCGGAAGACAAUCUGGGAGUAAUGAACGCAAACGUAAAGAGCCUCGAGAGAAAGAGAGAGAAAAAGAGAAGAAUAGCUGUGUUCUCUUGUAAUAGAAAAUGGAUUUAGUCUGGAGCCAAGUGCAUGUCCUCAGAAGCAAAAACAAGGAAUAACAAGGAAGACAAACCUGUUACAUGCCGCCUGUGCCUGAUUACCCCCAUGGAUUUUGUUCAUGUUUCAAGAGAGGACGGAAGACUUUGUUACAAUCAUACAGACUUUCUUCAAAGUCAUAGUGUGUGCUGCUCAAGAUGGAAUUCCAAGUCACAGUUGGAUGUGGCUGUGCUUUGAGUUAGUCCUAAGAAAUAAAUACUGCACCUUGUAGCUGAACACACAAGUCAUGGCAAGUUUUGUGUCACAGUGACAUCCAUUACUCAUUACAUCAGUCAGUAAGCUAUUUUAUCUUCUGUGUUAAACAAAGGAGGCAAUUAAUUUUGUCCAAGACUUUCCUGAAGUCUGUAUACUAGCACAACAAGAAUUCUGUGUUACAAGGUAUGAAGCUGUAUCUUAGGCUGGGUAUAGUCUUCACGACACAGGAGCCCAAAUAACAGCUGGGCACUGCCUCCUCCAUGUGUCAAAAUUCUUUGCUUCUGGAUCUGGUAUGUUUGUUUUUUUUGAACCCAGAUUUAUACUGUGUUACUGCUAUCAUUGCACCUCCUGGCCAGCUUUCCUGCCCCAAGAAUAUGUGACUUGAUGGGCACCAUACAAAAAUAUUAUAGAAAAUGGGGCAUUUAUUAAUAAGCAAGAUGAAUAUUGUUUGCUUUUCUUGCAAUUGCAAACUGGGUAUGGCAAUUCAGAUGUUAUCAGGGUUAAACAAGUAAUUUU
Molecule: long non-coding RNA, 1383 nt
Organism: Merops nubicus (carmine bee-eater)
Lineage: Eukaryota; Metazoa; Chordata; Aves; Coraciiformes; Meropidae
Exons: 3
Source: RefSeq, a predicted model, not a curated record